CCCUUAGAUGUCCUGGGCCGCACGCGCGUUACACUGAUGCAUUCAACGAGCUUAUAACCUUGGCCGAGAGGCCUGGGCAAUCUUGUUAACGUGCAUCGUGAUAGGGAUAGAUUAUUGAAAUUAUUAAUCUUGAACGAGGAAUUCCUAGUAAACGCAGAUCAUCAAUCUGCAUUGAUUACGUCCCUGCCCUUUGUACACACCGCCCGUCGCACCUACGGAUUGGAUGGUCCGGUGAAGCCUCGGGAUUGUGGUUCUUGCCGCUUUAUUGUGGCGUGACCGCGAGAACUUGUCUAAACCUUAUCAUCUAGAGGAAGGUGAAGUCGUAACA
Molecule: ribosomal RNA, 328 nt
Filed under: uncultured eukaryote
Lineage: Eukaryota
Description: partial 18S ribosomal RNA
Rfam family: Eukaryotic small subunit ribosomal RNA
Source: RNAcentral